UACUAGAGUAGCACUCGCAUAUCAAUAAGCGGAGGAAAAGAAACUAACAAGGAUUCCCCUAGUAACGGCGAGUGAAGCGGGAAGAGCUCAAAUUUGAAAUCUUAAAGGGUUUCCCUUUACGAAUUGUAGUUUAAAGAAGUGUUUUCUGUUGAGGUUUUGGUAAAAGUUCUUUGGAAUAGGACAUCAUAGGGGGUGAGAAUCCCGUAUUUGACCUUUACUUUCAACUUUGUGAUACACUUUCAAAGAGUCGGAUUGUUUGGGAAUGCAGUCCAAAAUGGGUGGUAAAUUUCAUCUAAAGCUAAAUAUUGGCGAGAGACCGAUAGCGAACAAGUACCGUGAGGGAAAGAUGAAAAGAACUUUGAAAAGAGAGUUAAACAGUACGUGAAAUUGUCAAAAGGGAAGCGUUUGACACCAGUGUUGUUUUUCUGAAAAUCAAUUAAAGAACUGUUUAUGCUAAGUUGUUUAGACUUUAUCAGCUAACUGUUUAGUUUUGAGCUUUUCUUUAAUGCACUUUUCAGUUAACAAGUCAACAUCAAUUUCUUUUGCUGUAAAAAAGCUUGAGGAAGGUGGCUUGAGAUUCGUCUUAAGUGUUUAUAGCCUCUUGCCUAUGCAGUCGGAGAGAUUGAGGUCUGCAGCGUAGAUCCUUCGGGGCUAAAUGCAUUUGUGCUAAGUUAUAGCAUUUUAUAGACAACUUGUUGACUAUGAUUUGUCUUGUAGCUUACUCGCUUAUGUUAUUUUACCUACGCUUAGGAUGUUGAUCUACAGAGCGAGAGU
Molecule: ribosomal RNA, 774 nt
Filed under: uncultured Neocallimastigales
Lineage: Eukaryota; Fungi; Neocallimastigomycota; Neocallimastigomycetes; Neocallimastigales
Description: partial large subunit ribosomal RNA
Rfam family: Eukaryotic large subunit ribosomal RNA
Source: RNAcentral